GACGAACGCUGGCGGCGUGCUUAACACAUGCAAGUCGAACGAUGAAGCCUAGCUUGCUAGGUGGAUUAGUGGCGAACGGGUGAGUAAUACGUGAGUGACCUACCUUUGACUCUGGGAUAAGCCUGGGAAACUGGGUCUAAUACCGGAUACGACCAAUCUCCGCUUGGGGUGUUGGUGGAAAGCGUUAUGUAGUGGUUUUAGAUGGUCUCACGGCCUAUCAGCUUGUUGGUGAGGUAAUGGCUUACCAAGGCGACGACGGGUAGCCGGCCUGGGAGGGUGACCGGCCACACUGGGACUGAGAAACGGCCCAGACUCCUACGGGAGGCAGCAGUGGGGAAUAUUGCACAAUGGGCGCAAGCCUGAUGCAGCGACGCCGCGUGAGGGAUGACGGCCUUCGGGUUGUAAACCUCUGUUAGCAUCGAAGAAGCGAAAGUGACGGUAGGUGCAGAGAAAGCGCCGGCUAACUACGUG
RNAcentral lists this ribosomal RNA (471 nucleotides) under uncultured bacterium. Its description in RNAcentral is "partial 16S ribosomal RNA". It matches the Rfam family "Bacterial small subunit ribosomal RNA", at positions 28 to 507 of the family's 1533-position model. The record is from RNAcentral.